Molecule: long non-coding RNA, 342 nt
Filed under: Ricinus communis (castor bean)
Lineage: Eukaryota; Viridiplantae; Streptophyta; Magnoliopsida; Malpighiales; Euphorbiaceae
Description: long non-coding RNA (RCOM_LNC001637)
Source: RNAcentral
ACAAAUCGUCAAAAUAUCUUUUAACAAAGUUAGGGAUAGUAAGCUAAGUCAAAUGACCAUUGAAAUGCGAGCUAAAUUUGACAAACAUUGUGGGUUCUUUAGAUAAAAUGAAUGUUAUGUUAUUUGUGGCUGUUGUUUUGGAUCCUAGGUGCAAAUUAAAGUACUUAAAAGCUAAGUAUACCAUUUAUUAUGGUGAAGAUGAGGCAAAAAAUUUAGAAAAAAUGGUGAAAACAGCUUUAGAGUUGAUGGUGGAUGAAUACAAGAUAAUUGAUGAUCAAUUAUAUAUGGGUGAGGUUGUAGGGAGCUCAGAGAAAUCUGCAUAUGAUAGUGGGCCAAGUGAUA